This 1006-nucleotide unclassified non-coding RNA is filed under the name Hevea brasiliensis (rubber tree). The record is from RNAcentral. Lineage: Eukaryota; Viridiplantae; Streptophyta; Magnoliopsida; Malpighiales; Euphorbiaceae.
AUAAUCAUACACUUUUAUUAUUUUCUCUCUAAAUUGGAGAGUAAAUAAUAAGAAAAAAAUAAGAGUUAUUUUUCCUCUGUCUUCUUAUUUUCCCUUCAUCUCUAAAUAAGAAAAAAUGCUAAUCCUAAUUUAUUUUCUCUUAUUUAUUUUCUUUCCUUCCCCUUCUCCCCGUAUCUAAACAGAGUGUAGAACGCUAUACCGACGCACAGCAGAACCAUGUUGCAAAUAGCCCAAACCAAGCUAAAAAAAAAACAACGGCGAAAAACCAAAAACAAAUAAAAAAAAGAGCUGCAAGAUAAAUUAAAAAGACGCUCCGAUAUGGAUCAAAAAGUGGCAAUCAACUCCGAAUCAAGGGCAAGACCUUCCUUAGCCAAAGAGUCAGCAAUAGAGUUAGCCUCAUGGAGAACAUGGGAGACCACCACUGGUGGGAGGGCCUUUAGGAGAAUGAAAUCUCAUUCACAACAAAGGAGAGCUUCCAUGGAGUAGAAACAAGAUCCAAUACCUAGGAGAUGACAUUUUUUGCAUCGGAUUCCAACAGGAUAAAGGAAGAACUACCCUUCGAAAAGGGCAAAGAUAAAGAGAUAGCCAGGGCCUUACAAAUAGAAACCAAUUCCGUUGAAUUAGAAUCCAUAUAACCAAUAGGACAAGAGAAAAUACAACGGAAGAAACCUUUAGAGUCUCGCAGAACACUACUGAUGGCACUCAUACCAGCAUCCUGAAAGAGGAACCAUCAACAUUCCACUUAAAACUCGAAGAAAUUGGUACAGACCAAGAAGUGGCUCUACGAAGCUUUGGUGGAUUAGACCCCAAUCUUAUAUAUUCUAAGGUAACCAGAAGAUUCAUAGCAAAUAAUAGGAAAUUAGAGUCUAAUGCCUUCAUUCAUAUUGAGAGGCAAAGGAGCAUAAAAACACACAUAUCAAAAGUUGAAACAUCUUUCCCAUUAAAAACUUUACCGUUUCUAGCAAAUAAAAGUGACUAAACGAUGGCAUUGGAAAAUUUUGCCAAG